AACAGUUUUCGUUGUUAUUUAUAUUAUCAAAAUCUGUUCUUUUCGGUUUAUACAUCAGCAAUGGCAAGCGAUAAUCAAGAAAUUUGAAAAUGUAGAGUGAUAUUUCUGUUCUCUGUCCGAAAGUAACUGAAUGUUGAGCGCAUGUCUAAUUACGUGGGUAGUGGUAUUGCGUAGGAGACAUUUCCUCGCAGACAUUGGAAGGAUCCGAUUAGUCGAGCGCGAUACAUCAUCUGGAAGUAAUGUAACUUUGAGGGAGCUUUCAGAAUUAAAUUUUCAUUUUUUUUUGUGCUAGUAAUUCGAUCUUAACCUUAACAUGUAUCAAAGUGACUCUAGAAAACCAGAGAGGACCCAGCAUUGCGAUAUUUUUUUAUUAAAGUGCGGCAGCUCCCAUUAUCAUCUAUGACGAGUGACAGUGACUUUUUUGAAGUUUAUCUGCCUGAGAAGGGAGACAACAAUAAAUAUCAGGCACGUAACAUUUUUAAUUCUACAGAGAAAAUCGGAGAAUAUGGUGACUUUUAUGAAGUUUAUCUGCCUGAGAAAGUCAAGUGUCAUAUACCGAAUUCUUCCGUUGAACAUCGGGGCAUUAGAGAAUGUAUCCACAGACUCGGCCGCAAUAUUUCGAAAUUUUUCUGUUGGAAUGGGCAAACCGAGAUUGCAGAAAGAAUUCCUGUUCCAAUUCGCUCAAGAAAACUAGAUUUUAGUAAGUAAUUUAUUGCCGUUAGUUGCUCUUUCAUUUUCAAAGGGAACAAGUUAGUCAAGGAAAAAUCAAGAUGCCGGCAAUAUAUGAUUUUUACAUAUCAUUAUGAAAAUGAGCCAUCGAUAGCAUCUAUCCAUGACAUUCUCAGAACAUCAAGAUGAUGUAAAAAUGAUUUAUAAUUUCCUUUUUAUAAAGUAAUUUAUAUAAAUUGAUACAUUAGAA
Molecule: unclassified non-coding RNA, 919 nt
Organism: Pogonomyrmex barbatus (red harvester ant)
Lineage: Eukaryota; Metazoa; Arthropoda; Insecta; Hymenoptera; Formicidae
Source: RefSeq, a predicted model, not a curated record